UUUCAAGCUCUUUUAUGCUUUGGUUAUUUAUAUUUCUCUAUUUAUGGUUUUAAUCAACCGUAGUAAGUUAUAUUCUUGUAUUAUUUUUAACUUUUUUUUAUACAUAAUGUUUACUUAUCUUUUAGUAAUUUAUUCAUUUUUUAAUAUCGCAGCUCCAUUCCCCUUAAAUCUACUUCGGUGCAUUAAAGAUGAUGAUUGUCCUUGGGAUAUGUGUCUUCACACUAUGUCAGAUCGGAUAUGUAUUAGUGAUGCUUGUUUUUGCGCAUGACUUUUAGAAAAACAAAUCUAUAUUACUCAUUAACAACGAAUAAUUUUACUUGUAAAUGAAGUUUCCAAAAUAAUAUUUAAAUUAUUUUUGGCUUCUCUAUUUUGAUAAAAGUGAAAUCAAUUGUUAAAGUUGUUAUAAAUAAUAUUCAAUUUGGAUAUGGUUGUCCAUUUUCUUA
This 443-nucleotide long non-coding RNA is filed under the name Lathyrus oleraceus (garden pea). RNAcentral's name for it is "Pisum sativum (pea) long non-coding RNA (PSAT_LNC022265)". Lineage: Eukaryota; Viridiplantae; Streptophyta; Magnoliopsida; Fabales; Fabaceae. The record is from RNAcentral.